GGAUAAGACGUCCGGUGCAUUCGUAUCGAGCGAUGCACUGGUGUUCGAAUCCCGCCGGCAGGUACCAAUUUAUCCAAUGAAAUACGUACUCAACAAAUGUUCACAA
This 106-nucleotide non-coding RNA is filed under the name Bombyx mori (domestic silkworm). The record is from RNAcentral. Lineage: Eukaryota; Metazoa; Arthropoda; Insecta; Lepidoptera; Bombycidae.